RNAcentral lists this unclassified non-coding RNA (326 nucleotides) under soil metagenome. RNAcentral describes it as "partial contains 5.8S ribosomal RNA, internal transcribed spacer 2, and large subunit ribosomal RNA". The stretch from base 1 to 120 matches the Rfam family "5.8S ribosomal RNA", at positions 35 to 154 of the family's 154-position model. The record is from RNAcentral.
GAUGAAGAACGUAGCGAAAUGCGAUAAGUAAUGUGAAUUGCAGAAUCCAGUGAAUCAUCGAAUCUUUGAACGCACAUUGCGCCCCUUGGUAUUCCGAGGGGCAUGCCUGUUCGAGCGUCAUAUUAACCACUCCCGCUUGCGGGGUCUUGGGCUUCGCCUCCGGGCGGGCCUUAAAAUCAGUGGCGGUGCCGUCGGGCUCUACGCGUAGUAAAUUUUCUCGCGAUAGGGUCCCGGUGGAUGCUUGCCAACAACCCCCAACUUCUUAAGGUUGACCUCGGAUCAGGUAGGGAUACCCGCUGAACUUAAGCAUAUCAAUAAGCGGAGGA